This 116-nucleotide ribosomal RNA is filed under the name Pseudomonas nitroreducens. Lineage: Bacteria; Pseudomonadati; Pseudomonadota; Gammaproteobacteria; Pseudomonadales; Pseudomonadaceae. The record is from RNAcentral.
CUUGACGACCAUAGAGCAUUGGAACCACCUGAUCCCAUCCCGAACUCAGUAGUGAAACGAUGCAUCGCCAAUGGUAGUGUGGAGUUUCUCCAUGUGAGAGUAGGUCAUCGUCAAGC